RNAcentral lists this ribosomal RNA (482 nucleotides) under uncultured bacterium. Its description in RNAcentral is "bacterial SSU rRNA". It matches the Rfam family "Bacterial small subunit ribosomal RNA", at positions 29 to 506 of the family's 1533-position model. The record is from RNAcentral.
UUGAACGCUGGCGGAAUGCUUUACACAUGCAAGUCGAACGGCAGCACGGGGGCAACCUUGGUGGCGAGUGGCGAACGGGUGAGUAAUGUAUCGGAACGUACCCAGUCGUGGGGGAUAACUAUCCGAAAGGAUAGCUAAUACCGCAUACGUCCUGAGGGAGAAAGCGGGGGAUCGCAAGACCUCGCGCGCUUGGAGCGGCCGAUAUCGGAUUAGCUAGUUGGUGAGGUAAAGGCUCACCAAGGCGACGAUCCGUAGCGGGUCUGAGAGGAGGACCAGCCACACUGGAACUGAGACACGGUCCAGACGCCUACGGGAGGCAGCAGUGGGGAAUUUUGGACAAUGGGGGAAACCCUGAUCCAGCCAUGCCGCGUGAGUGAAGAAGGCCUUCGGGUUGUAAAGCUCUUUCAGCAGGAACGAAACGGUCGGCUUUAAUAAAGGCGGCGAAUGACGGUACCUGCAGAAGAAGCACCGGCUAACUACGU